GGAAGUGUGGCUCAAGUGGUAGAGCACUUGCCUAGCAAGCAUAAGAUCCUGUGUCCAAGGCCUAGCACUAUCA
Molecule: transfer RNA, 73 nt
Filed under: Dipodomys ordii (Ord's kangaroo rat)
Lineage: Eukaryota; Metazoa; Chordata; Mammalia; Rodentia; Heteromyidae
Rfam family: tRNA
About the family: Transfer RNA (tRNA) molecules are approximately 80 nucleotides in length. Their secondary structure includes four short double-helical elements and three loops (D, anti-codon, and T loops). Further hydrogen bonds mediate the characteristic L-shaped molecular structure. tRNAs have two regions of fundamental functional importance: the anti-codon, which is responsible for specific mRNA codon recognition, and the 3' end, to which the tRNAs corresponding amino acid is attached (by aminoacyl-tRNA synthetases). tRNAs cope with the degeneracy of the genetic code in two manners: having more than one tRNA (with a specific anti-codon) for a particular amino acid; and 'wobble' base-pairing, i.e. permitting non-standard base-pairing at the 3rd anti-codon position.
Source: Rfam by way of RNAcentral